UUUUUUUUUUUUUUUUCUUUUUAAAGCUGCACCUGCAGCCUAUGAAAAUUUCCAGGCUAGGGGUCGAAUCAGAGCUGUAGCUGCCAGCCUAUGCCACAGCCACAGCAAUGCCAAAUCUGAACUGCAUUUAUGAUCUACACCACAGCUUGCAACAAUGCCAGAUCCUUAACCCUCUGAGCGAGGCCGGGGAUCAAACCUGCAUCCUCAUGGACAUUAGUCGGGUUCUUAAUCCACUGAGCCACAAUAGAAACUCCAAUUCUGUUGUCUUAGGCCACCCAGUUUGUUAAUUUGUUAUGGCAGGUACAGGAAGCCAAUAGGGGAACUUUGAGGCAAAACAAAAAGUAGCACUAAUAGCCAGACUCCCCUAAGAGCCAAACUGGGGGUUCCCAAAUUCAGCACCACUGACAUUUUAAGGCCAGGUCAUUCUUCUCUGUGGGACUGUCCAGUAGGAUGUAAGCAGCAUCUCUGGCCUCUACCCCCUGUAUGCCAGUAGCUACAUUACCUUCUCCCAGUUGAGACAAACAAACAUGUCCCCAGACGUUGCCAAAUGUCCCUUUGGAGAAUAAAAUGACCCCCAGUUGAGAUGACAGAACCACUGCUUAGGUCAUCUCAUCUGCCUCAAUUUCAGCAGCUACAGAAAGGAGGCUGGGGUCUUGGGGGGUCGUACAAGUAUCUAUCUCAUAGGGCUUCCUCUUCAAUGACAAUUAAUUGGGCACCCAUGUUCCAGGCACAUAGUAGGCCCCAGGGCCCCAGCAGUGACCUAAAUGCAUGUGAUGUCUACCUCAUGAGUUACAGUUUAGUGGGUUGUGUUAAGGAUAAAUUGAAAUAAUACAUUGAAAUGACCUGAUGCAAGCUUGCCCUGUAGUAAGAAUUCAACAAAUGUCUCUUUUUAAAGUUUACCAUUUAAAUUCGGCAUCAUUUUUAGCAUAAUCCUAAUUAGCAUUAUAAACACUGAACACAAUGCCUGGCACAGAGUAGGGUCAAAAUAAGACAGAAACAGUGGAUAAAAUAAAAAGGUAUGUGGAGAGUACUUAGCAGAGCACCUGGCCUACUGUAGAUGAUCAGCUGAUACUGGCUUCUUUCCUAUUCUUCCAAAGGCACAUGGGAGUUGGUACAAGUUUUUUGGAGGAGAGCCCAGAUCUCCUGCCUCAUAGUCUAGAAUAAUCUGUUUUGUUUUAUCAUUCACUGAGGUCCUAUCCUACCCUCUGUACCAGCCAGGGUUUCAGAGAAGUACUACUGCAUAAUAAAUAGCACAAAUUCUCAGUGAAUUCCAACCAUAAGCAUUUAUUCUCAUGCCCAUGAGGUUCAGGUUUGGUUGUGGUUGGGCUGGUCUAGGCUGGACCUGACUCAGCUGUGCCACUCCGACUGCAGGUUGCUCUCAGAUCUGGGCCCUGGGUCGUCAUCCUGGAGCCUAGCCUGAUGGGAUAGUGGUCAUCUUCGGCAUCUUCUGCUUAUGUCAGGCCACAAGAGCACAAGAGAUCAAGCCAACUGACACAUGCAUAUUAUAAGUUUAGGUCAUGUCUACCAGCUCUGCCUUGGUCAAGCAAGCCACAUGGCCAAGUUCCUCAUCAGUGGAUGGGGAUGCUCUGCCACAGUGGAAGGUGAACAGUAUCUGAAUGUCCAUUAAACAGUCACCCAAAGUGACCCAUCUCCCUCCAAGAAGGACUUGCAUUAAAAUACCUGAGCCUUAAAGAAAUAAAACAGAGAUCAGCAGGUCCAGGCACAGCUAGGAUUCUGGAGGAAAACGGGUGGGGGUGGGGUGGGGUCGGGGGAGAGCAGAAGGGGAUGGGGAGAGAAUGGGGGAUGAAAACAAAAGAAACUGGAAAUGGCACUUGGUGUCCCAGGGCCCGAGUUCCACUAGUCCUGACCCGAGAGGCUGGCUGUCCCCUGCCUCUGGCAUCCUUUUUCUGCUCUGCCAUCAUCCGGCUCAGGACCACAGAGGUUCAUUUCACUUGCAUCUGUUAUCAAUACCUAAUUAAAUCUAAUUUGGGGACAGAAAAGGAGAGAGGAAGAAAAUGCAGCCAAAAUAAUAAAUAGGGUCUAGCUGCGAUUGAUCACCCCUCGACCACAAGCCAGGCAGGGCUCCCAGGCCAGGAGCUGAAACCCCCCCGGGGACUUUUUCCAUUGUGGGAGUUAACCUAUGUGAGUUUCAGAAAUCAUUGGAAUAGGUUAUGUCUCAUUACCACGUGUUGUGAUGCAAAGGCUGUAGACCUCCUUUCCCUCAAAUAUCACUGCACCUCACCCACCGUAUUUUUUCAGUCUGAAAUGCCACAUCCACUAGAACAGUCCCUUGGGUUCAACUUCGCCCUCUGUAGGUAGGAUAUGGAAGUACAACACUUUAUACCAUCUCCACUCCUUUUGAAGUAAGAGUGCUUUACAGUUUGCAGUGUUUCCAUCUCUAUGAUCCCAGAUUCUUCACCAGUAAAACUUAACAGAUAUGUAUCAUGUGCACAUCCUGUAUCAGACACCUUGAUAAGCAUGGCGAUGCCGCAGUGAACGAGAUGCCUAUAUGUUCAAAUGUCCAGGUCUUGUGCAGGAUACAGGCAUUGGAAAGAGACAAUGAACAUAUCCUGUGACUAGUGCUAUGCCAGGAUGCAUGGGGUGCAUGGGAACCCAAAGACGAGGUAGCAGGCAUCAGAGUGUGCUUCCUGGACUAGGUGACACUGAGUGAGUGCUGGCCAAAUGAAGAAAUUAGAAGAAGGGGCAAAGGAAAGGGGAGGCAGGAGACAUUCUAGGUAGAUGGGAUAGUUGUGGUUGCCUCACAGGGACCUCACACACCAGGUGCCCAGCUCAGGGCCUGGUACACAUUAGGAACUCAGAAAGUCCUAGCUCUCUUUACCCUUAUGUUUACACCUGAUCAUCAUACAUCUUCCCAGCCACCUUUUGAGUUGGGUGGGACAGGAACUCAUUUCUUUAUCAUCCAUGUGGGGAAACCAGAGCUCAGAGGAGGUGAACUUGCCUCUGGUCACAGAGCGGGCUAGUGGGGGACUGGUCUCCCUCAGGGAAGUGGUUUCAGCUGGAGCCAUGGGAACUGAUCACAAGGGUCAGAAGACUUGGGUCAUAACCUUGGCUCUUCCAGGAAACUAGCACCUGUCUUUGUCAGGUUGCUUCCUGUGUCUGGCCUCAGUGGUCCUGACUGGAACAUGAGUGGGGCUGAACUUAAACAUUGGGACCCCUUCCAGCCCUGACACCCCGGGAUGCUAAGGUUUACUGCAAAAAAGGAUGAAUUUGAGGCUGCUGUGAAGAAGUGAGCCUGGUCCUUGCUCUCUCCAACCUUUAUGGUUGGGUGGUAAGUAUUUCCAAUACCUCUUCCCACGUCCUUCCAUCCUUAAGAAAAGAGAGGCAGGACAAGGCCUCUGGAAGGCAAAGUCGUGCCAUCAUGAUCAGAUUCUUAGCCUGGACUAUUGAAAGUAAACUACUUUCCACAAACCAUGGUGCCCAUCCUCAAACUGCCCAAUAGUCCAGAGUGGCCCAGUAUAAUCCCUUAUCCUCUAAGCCUCAGUUUUCCCAUCCAUAUAUAAGGAAGUCAUUGUCACUUCUCCUCCCAAGUUUGUUUUGAGAAUUGGCCCAUGAAUGAGAUGGUCAGGUGGCCAAAACCUCCCUAAACAACUGGAGAUAGUCUGCCCCCUUCCUUCUGCCACCACAGGCCUGGGUUCUGUCCCUUUGACUGCUUAGGGAGACACCGUGCCUGUGACUUCUUGGACAGAAAACUCCAGCCAGAGCCUUCAGCUUCAGGAGGCUGGGAUUCGGGGGCAAUCAGAGCAGAAAAUCUCUUAAGGGCUACACUAGAAAGAGAUGGAGAUGUCAGGUACCCUUGGUUUAGAGGGACAAUGGGGAAUCAGACUGGCCAUCUCUCUGCUCUUUCCCACAACCAGGGGCCUCAAGCAUCCCUGAGUCAGCAUAAUAGUUGACACAUCUGGUUGAAAGAUUCAGCUGGUCUUCCAGAUGUGACCGACCAUUGGCCACUGGCCAUCUGGCCCUCAGAACCCUCCUGGCAGCACGGAGGGAUGAAAGCUCAUUUCCCCCGCACUUCAUCUGCUUGAUGUGCAGCAGUCUACACAGAGCACGCUUCUGGAGAACCAGGGACACCUCAUGCUGAAGUCAAUGAACAAACAUGCAAGGCCUAGAGGGUAGAAAAUGAACGCCGUCAGCUGCCUCAUUCUGAUAAGUUGUGAACCACUUAGCCACCCCCCACUCCUUUCAGCCCAUCUCCUGUUCUUCGCUGUCUUUGCUGAAACUGCCAACCCUCCUCCCGUGCCAGGGGUGGUGGAGAAAUGUCAAUGGGGAAACAAGAAAAGAAAAAACAAAAACUGAUGGCUUUUGAUGCCCGCUAACAUAAAUUCACAUGUUACGCUUGUUUUUCUUUUCCUGGAUGGAAGAAUCCAUUGAAUUGUUUCUCCUAGAGAAACAAGGGUUGGGUGCUAUGCUGAGCGCUUUACACGCUUUAUUUCAUUUAAUCUUCAAGGCUGCACCAGAAAGUUGGUACUAUUCAAUGCACCCUUUAUGGAGGAGGAAAUUGAGGCACAGGGAGGUUAAGUGACUUGCCCAAGGUCACACAGCUAUGGAGGCAGACUGACUUCAGGGUUCAUGUGCUCCUGCCCCAGAGCACACAGUUUCUGCCAGAUGGGUCAGUGCAGAGAGGAAUGGUCAUUUAUUCAAGCAAAUGCUAUCCGUGAGUCUCCCCAAACAUACCAGAGGAUGGCUCCAGUUUUAACAAGCCCCACAGGUAAAGUUACAACAGCACUGGGAUUAAGGAAAGGCAGAUAGAACAGGACCGUGCAGAAUCAGAUCUUGCCAAUACUUAAAAUUUUGAUAUUUUGUUCACCAUGGAUUUUUGCAUUAAAUUUAAUAGCUUAAAAGAUAUAUUGCAUUAAAUUAUUUUUGCCUUGAUUACUGAGAUAUUUGGAACCCCCUUGAAUUUUGCCCUUGUGCCCCCACCCCCAGCCUCAUCCUGAGUCUCAGAGUCCCUACUUUGUGGCCGCAGUGGGUCAGGAGUGGAUAACAAUGAGCCCCAUCCUUAGGGAGCUGACAAGGUCUUGGGGAAAUGAGGAAGCUCGUUGCCUGGGGAAGUAUACAGCAGGUGUGAUUUCUGGGGAGAAACACCAACUAGCUUUAAGGGCAGAGGAUGUCAUGUCAGCAGCGGGUCUGAGUCCUGCCUCGGCACCUCACCAGCUGGAGAAGCUUGGGCAAGCUUGAGCCUAGUUUCCGCAUCAUUAGAAUGGGUCUAGGGAUAGCACCUAGCUCACAAGUGGGGCAGGCAACAAUCCAUGCAAAGCACUUAGAACAGGCUCCAUGCAGAGAGCAGCCUCACAGUGUUAGCCGCUAUUAUAAAAAUAGGGGUAACGAUUCUGUGAAAACCUGAGCACCUGGUAAAAGUGAAGGCAGAGAGUUGGAGGGGGCUGGAGAAACCUGCGGGUUCUGCAUGGAGGAGGCGGGACUUUGGGCAGAGCUUGACCAAUAGUUUGGACUGGAACAGGUGGGAAGGGGUGGUAUUCUGUAUACGGGAUGCUACAGCCUCCUUGGGUAAUUUGAUAAUUUUCUAAAGCAAUUAAUUCAUUUUUAAUUGGGGUAAAAUACAGCAGGAAACUGACCAUUUGAACCAUUUUAGGCGUGCAGUUCAGUGGCAUUACACAUAUUCACUCACACUGUUGGUCAGCCAACACCACCAUCCAUCUCCAGACAUUUUUUUCAUCUUGCAAAACUGAAACUGUAUACGCACUGAACACUAACUCCCCAAUCAUCUCUCCCCCGGCCCCUGGCAGUCAUGAUCCUACUUUAUUUCUCUAUGACUAUGACUGCUCUAAGUACCUCAUAUGAGGGUAAUUGUACAAUAUUUGUUCUUUGGGGACUGUUUGUUUCACUUGGCAUAACGGAUUCAAGAAUUUUCAUCUUGAAGCAUGGUGUCAGCAUAAAAUCUGAUAAUUUUUCAAGUCCUGGAAAUGACUUGGAAAUGGAUGGCUGGAUGGAUGGACAGAUGGAUGGAAGGAAGGAAGAACAGAUGGAAAGAAGGACAGAUGGAUGGAUGGAUGGAUUCCUGUAUGGUUCGAUAGAGAAAUAGAUGGUUGGGCAGAUGAUUGGAUGGAUGGAAGGGUGAAUGCCAGCACUGGUAUUCAAGUGAGAGGGUUGAAAGAGAGAUGGUAAGAGCACAUAGUACAACCCUGGAGUAGCUCUACAACCCUGGAGUAACUCUGCAACCCUGGAGUAGCUCAGAGCUACUCCAGGAGGACAAGACUCCACCCAGGACACAUAGAC
This 6252-nucleotide long non-coding RNA is filed under the name Sus scrofa (pig). RNAcentral's name for it is "lncRNA (ENSSSCG00015056193.1)". The record is from RNAcentral. Lineage: Eukaryota; Metazoa; Chordata; Mammalia; Artiodactyla; Suidae.